ACGGGUGCGUAAUACGUAGGAAUCUACCCUAAAGCGGGGGACAACCACGCGAAAGCGUGGCUAAUACCGCAUAAUCUCGAAAGAGCAAAGGUGGCUAGCAAUAGCUAUCACUUUAGGAUGAGCCUACGCCGGAUUAGCUUGUUGGUAGGGUAAUGGCCUACCAAGGCAACGAUCCGUAGCUGGUCUGAGAGGACGACCAGCCACACUGGGACUGAGAUACGGCCCAGACUCCUACGGGAGGCAGCAGUGGGGAAUAUUGGACAAUGGGCGAAAGCCUGAUCCAGCAAUGCCGCGUGUGCGAUGAAGGCCUGCGGGUUGUAAAGCACUUUCGUUGGGGAAGAAAUACUUGCAGCUAAUAUCUGCAAGGGUUGACAUUACCCAAAGAAGAAGCACCGGCUAACUCUGUGCCAGCAGCCGCGGUAAUACAGAGGGUGCAAGCGUUAAUCGGAGUUACUGGGCGUAAAGGGCGCGUAGGCGGAUAUUUAAGUCGAUUGUGAAAUCCCUGGGCUUAACCCAGGAAUUGCAGUCGAUACUGAAUAUCUAGAGUAUGGGAGAGGUGAGUGGAAUUCCCGGU
This 574-nucleotide ribosomal RNA is filed under the name uncultured bacterium. Its description in RNAcentral is "bacterial SSU rRNA". It matches the Rfam family "Bacterial small subunit ribosomal RNA", at positions 102 to 674 of the family's 1533-position model. The record is from RNAcentral.